This 1529-nucleotide ribosomal RNA is filed under the name Karlodinium veneficum. RNAcentral describes it as "eukaryotic LSU rRNA". The stretch from base 600 to 1529 matches the Rfam family "Eukaryotic large subunit ribosomal RNA", at positions 1 to 840 of the family's 3401-position model. Lineage: Eukaryota; Dinophyceae; Gymnodiniales; Kareniaceae. The record is from RNAcentral.
GUCGUAACAAGGUUUCCGUAGGUGAACCUGCGGAAGGAUCAUUCACACGCAUCCAAUUGAUUCAUUGUGAACUUCUUGAUGUGAGCUUUGUGUGGGGAUGGGUUGCCGCAUCCUGAUGCAUUGACUCGCGGGUAGUGGAGCAGCAUCGGACCGUCUUCCUUUUCUGUGAAGCUACCAUUGGCAUCGAACUUCGUUUCUGAACUUUUUCAAUGGUGGGUAACCGCCUCUCAAAUUAUACAACUUUCAGCGACGGAUGUCUCGGCUCGAACAACGAUGAAGGGCGCAGCGAAGUGUGAUAAGCAUUGUGAAUUGCAGAAUUCCGUGAACCAACAGGAAUUUGAACGUAUACUGCGCUUUCGGGAUAUCCCUGAAAGCAUGCCUGCUUCAGUGUCUACUGAUAUUCAUGCCGCUGACGCAUUCCAAUUCACUUUGGUGCUGUCAAGUGUGCGUGUUUGUGUGUCAAGGAGCUUCGCGCCCUUGACGCAUCCAGUGCACAGGUGCUGUCCACAACAAGCAAUUUGAAUAACACUUCUGUGUCAUGCGUUGCGUUGUUGUUGGUCACAUGCCUGAUACAAUUCCAAACUGUUUGAUCUUAUUCAAGACAUGAAGUUAGGUUAGCAAACCCGCUGAAUUUAAGCAUAUAAGUAAGCGGAGGAUAAGAAACUAAAUAGGAUUCCCUCAGUAAUGGCGAAUGAACAGGGAUGAGCUCAGCAUGGAAAUUGGGGCCUGUGGCCUUGAAUUGUAGUCUCGAGAUGCAUUGCCAACGGAGGCGCAGAUGUAAGCCUCUUGGAAAAGAGCAUCAGUGAGGGUGAGAGUCCCGUCUGUCAUCUGCAGUCCCCCGUGCACGGUGUGCGUUCUAAGAGUCACGUUCCUCGGGAUUGGAGCGCAAAUUGGGUGGUAAAUUUCAUCUAAAGCUAAAUAUUGGUUCGAGACCGAUAGCAAACAAGUACCAUGAGGGAAAGGUGAAAAGGACUUUGAAGAGAGAGUUAAAAGUGCCUGAAAUUGCUGAAAGGGAAGCGAAUGGAACCAGUGUUUCUUGGUGAGAUUGUUGCGUGCUAUGGUGAUAGCUUGCUGUUUCAGCGCAAGUGUUGCAGCAGGUUUUGAACUGGACGUGCGCGGUGCUUCUUACCUUGUGUGUCAACGUCGGUUCGGACUUGAGGAAAACUCCAGGGACAUGGUAAUUUGCCUGCGGUGAAUGAAUGUGCUUGGCAGAACUCAUUUCUGAACUGAUUCCUGUAUGUCUGGUCGCAGUGCUUUUACUGCUCACGUUCAGAGGGUCCUUGUGACCUGCUGGGCUUGCACGUGGAGCACUUCCCUGACAUAAGUACGAUGACAAAAUGGUUUUAUUCGACCCGUCUUGAAACACGGACUAAGGAGUCUAACAUAUGUGCAAGUUCACGGGUGCUAAACCUGCUUGCGCAAUGAAAGUGACUGCUGGGAUUUCUGCACCAGCAACCGACCAAUCAAUUGUGAGAGGUUUGAGUAUGAGCAUAUCUGUUAGGACCCGAAAGAUGGUGAACUAUGCGUGA